ACCAAAGCCAAAGCCCCCGUGCACCUCAUCAUAUCCACCAGCCUCAGCCCCAAUAUGACCAUUAAAGUCCCCUCCAAUAACUAACUUCUCAGACUGGGGGAUACUCCCCACCAGCUCAUCCAAGUCCUCCCAAAAGCGCCUUUUAGCCUCCUCGUCUAAGCCUGCGUGCGGCGCGUAAGCGCUGACGACGUUGAGGACUCCGCCCC
Molecule: long non-coding RNA, 206 nt
Filed under: Nicotiana benthamiana
Lineage: Eukaryota; Viridiplantae; Streptophyta; Magnoliopsida; Solanales; Solanaceae
Description: long non-coding RNA (NBEN_LNC005794)
Source: RNAcentral